This 276-nucleotide long non-coding RNA is filed under the name Elaeis guineensis (African oil palm). RNAcentral describes it as "long non-coding RNA (EGUI_LNC010247)". Lineage: Eukaryota; Viridiplantae; Streptophyta; Magnoliopsida; Arecales; Arecaceae. The record is from RNAcentral.
AUCACCAAAAAACAAUGUAAGAGUAACCAAAAAAAAAACUGAGAAAAUAAGGAAGGCGUGACGCUUGGUGCAUGCUCUAAAGGAUCUAACAUCCAGAUUAUAUAAGAAAGUGGCUGUAAAUACUUAGGUUCUCAGGGACAAAGGAGAAGAAAUUAUGAUGAACAAUGAAUCAACCUGAAGAAAAAGGCAGAACAUAUGGAUUUCAUCCAUUGUAGCAUGAUAUCAAUUUGUUCAGAAAAUAGGAAAACGAUAAAAAUUGGGAAAAGAUGUACCAGA